This 88-nucleotide transfer RNA is filed under the name Streptomyces cinnamoneus. RNAcentral's name for it is "tRNA-His". Lineage: Bacteria; Bacillati; Actinomycetota; Actinomycetes; Kitasatosporales; Streptomycetaceae. The record is from RNAcentral.
CUGCCGCGUGGCGUGCGGGUGGGAUGCGGGAGAGUGUGCUUCUCCGGCGGGCAGGCGUGGCGUCCGUACGGGGCGGGGGCGGCGGCCC